This 1439-nucleotide long non-coding RNA is filed under the name Homo sapiens (human). RNAcentral's name for it is "HSALNT0059515". Lineage: Eukaryota; Metazoa; Chordata; Mammalia; Primates; Hominidae. The record is from RNAcentral.
AAUAAAUAGAGGACAUUUGGCUUUGGCUGCUGUUUCCUUUCUCCAGCAAGAACCCUGAAGGAAGCUUUCCCUGGAUUGACUCUGAUUUUCCCUGUGGUUGGUUGUUCCUUCAGAGAUGCUGUAUUGCUUCUGAUUACAAUAUUGGCAGAGGAAGACAGUUUCAGGAGAUUCCAUUUUCCUUUCCCACUAUGUGCCUCUAAUUACAGGGGCAUUUCUUAUUAGGUUAAGUGAAGACAGUCUCCUCAGAAGCCUCCUAGGGAACACAGUCAAAAGGUGAGUUGCCAGAACAAACAUAAUACAUUCAUUUUAACAUUAUCAUCCCCUGAUCCCUUCUUUAAUACCAUACCCAAAGACUCUGACAUCUCUACUUUAUUUACUAUAUGGCUUUUUUUUAGUCUAGGCUUCAAGGAGCCAUGCCAGCAAAUUACUACUAGGACCAUAUCCAAGUGUCCCUGCCAAAGCACCGAAUCCAAAAUCAUAAGUAACUGCCCCCAUAAAAAUAAACCCUCCUCUAGGCAGCCCCCAAGUUCAAGUCCUUAAAAACCACUCUAAACACAUUUCAUUGGUGAAUGGCAGUAUUAGUCAUAUCCUCAAUUCCUUUGGUAGGUAUUCUAUUUCUUUCAAAUAUAGUUUAUUUAUUCCUUGAGGAAGAUUUAUGCUUCUGUGUUAGGCUGUGCUGAGAUCUGAGAUCUGAUUCUGGUUCUUUGCCUGGAUGUAAUGAUACUGGAGGUGGUCUUGUGGGGAAAAACAUCAUCAUACGAGGAAAUUAUUUUAGGUGAAGUCAUUACACGGUCACCCAGAAAAGGGAAACUGUUCUCCUCCAGAAAUGGUGAAAGAGGUACUUCUGCUGACCAGAAGUGUUUGAGGAAAUUGGGGGUUGCUGGGGUUUACAAUAUUCUCAGGCUUAUCUAUAUAAAUUUUUCCAUCCCAGGUUAAUGGUUGAAUAGUGCUCUCAAAAAUUCAUGUGCACCCAGAACCUCAGAAUGUGACUUUAUUCAGAAAUAGAAUCUUUGCAGAUGUAAUUAGUUAAGGAUUUCAAGAAGAAAUCAUUCUGGAUUUAGGGUGGGCCCUAAAUCCCAUCCUAGGCCCACCCUAAAUCCAAUGACUCCUGUUGUUAUAAAAAGAGGAGAAGACAUAGAGAAGAUCAUGUGAAAAUGGAAAAUGAAGGCAGAGAUUGGUGUUAUACUGCCACAAGUCAAGGAACAUCAGGAGCCACCUAAGCUGGAAAAGGCAAGGAAGAAGUCUCCCCUAGAGUCUUCAGAGGGAGCACGGCCUAACUGACACCUUAGUUUUAGACUUCUGGUUGUUAGAACUAGGAAAAAAUAAACUUCUUUGUUUUAAGUCAUCCACUUUGUGGUCAUAUGUUAUGGCAGCCAUAGGAAACUAAUAUACAAAGGUCAUACUCUUUCCUUAUCAGGGCUCUGACUUUAACAAAUGAG